This 91-nucleotide ribosomal RNA is filed under the name Gilbertiodendron grandistipulatum. RNAcentral's name for it is "partial 26S ribosomal RNA". It matches the Rfam family "Eukaryotic large subunit ribosomal RNA", at positions 1 to 86 of the family's 3401-position model. Lineage: Eukaryota; Viridiplantae; Streptophyta; Magnoliopsida; Fabales; Fabaceae. The record is from RNAcentral.
AAUGCGACCUCAGCUCAGGCGGGGCUACCCGCUGAGUUUAAGCAUAUCAAUAAGCGAGGAAGGAAAAGAAACUNACAAGGAUUUCCCCUAA